This 90-nucleotide ribosomal RNA is filed under the name Clostridium botulinum. RNAcentral describes it as "partial 23S ribosomal RNA". It matches the Rfam family "Bacterial large subunit ribosomal RNA", at positions 2839 to 2925 of the family's 2925-position model. Lineage: Bacteria; Bacillati; Bacillota; Clostridia; Eubacteriales; Clostridiaceae. The record is from RNAcentral.
GGAAGAACACCAGGUUGAUAGGUCAGAGAUGUAAGCAUGGCAACAUGUUAAGUUGACUGAUACUAAUAAGUCGAGGGCUUGACCAAAUAA